This is a long non-coding RNA of Chroicocephalus ridibundus (black-headed gull), 1836 nucleotides long. RefSeq lists it as uncharacterized. NCBI's taxonomy places the organism in Eukaryota, Metazoa, Chordata, Aves, Charadriiformes, Laridae. The record is from RefSeq and is a predicted model, not a curated record. The transcript is spliced from 3 exons.
UGCCUUUAGAGAUCUCUUUCCUUUCCCGCAGCCGAGCAGCGCUGGGGUGGGAGAUGCGGAGCGGGGAGCCGGCGUGGCGGGACGCAUCCCGGCCGUGGGAGAUGCCGUGGGUGGCUGGACGGAGCAGCGCAGGGUGGCGAGGUGCAGGUGGAGAGGGGGGCUGCAUCCCAGGCUCCGCGUUUGCCACCUCGAGAGCUUGCUGUUGGGUCUCCAACACCACCCAGCCGGCGAAAGGAGAGGAGAGUCGUAUGCUGGCUUCGCAGCCAGACUCAACCAGCAAAUGCCAGCUCGGCCAGUGGCCGCGAUAAAGGAGCCUUUUGGACUAACAACUAGGAGCUGGUGGGGAGGCCGCAGCCCUCGCCUUCCCCUGUGCCUUGGGAUCCGCGUGUGGGUGUCCCGGCACGGCCGUGGCCACGCUCCCGUCCUCCUGGCCACGCGGGUGUCCACCGUGCUGGUGGCCUCUGCUCCCCGCUGGGGCUGUCCCCUCCCCGCAGCAGUCCCGGCGCGACCGUGUACUUGCACACCCGCGGCGAACGCUCGGGGGUGGUUCGUUAGAGGGAGUCGAGUUGGGAAUUUCGUAGGGCGAGGAGCUGCCAGACUCCACAGCCCUGCGCCCCCGGGAAUUACCCCGCCACCCAGGCGCGUCCCGCACGCGCUGCGCGGGGCUGCCAUCGCUUGCGGCAGAGGUGACGGGGAGCUGAGCUGGGGGAGGAAAUGACUUUGUAAUGAGAACGUCGGCGCUCUUGAAUCGGGCACAAGCUCAAGUCUGAGGACGGGGCUGAGCCAUGAGGCCAAAGGAGAGCGUUCCCUCGCCGGUGGGCUGCCAGGCGCCGGCAUGCCGGCCUCGCGGGGCUGGUGGCCGUGUCCCCUUCGGCAGGGGAAAGUCGUGCUUUCCGGAGCAGCAGUUUGUUUAUUUUAUUUAAUGGCGACCAGAGGGUCACAUUUAUGCAGGAAACCGAAAUUACACAGGUUCCCCUUGUGUUUACAAUACAAUUGUGGGAGCAGAUCCUGAGCUGGCGUACGUGGACGUCGCUCUCCUGACCUCGGUGGCACGACAGCAACCUGUGCAGGAGCAUCCGCGACUCAAGGAAAAGACGGGGAGGGCAGCGCUUGGCGUUAUCCCAGCGGGAGCGUUUGCAAAGGGCGACCUGGGGACACCAAAACCCGUCUUUCUGCACCAGCGAGGGGUUGGUGUUGGUAGGGAAGACACAAUUUGUGUCCCGAAGUGAACGUCACAGUAGAUCUGACGUUGGAGACGUGGGAAGAGCCGGGAAGGGAGCAGGCAGCUGGAAAACCACCAAGAGACGAAGGAGUGCAGCUUGGAUGCAUCCAAACCUCUCCACGCCCCCGGAUGAGCCCAGGGAAUUCUCUAAAGAAGCCCAAAGCACCCUUUAAAACCACAAGUGAUGUUUUAUGACCUUCCCGGAGAGAGGAAGGUCGUGUUAUCCCCCCGUCCACAGGGCUGCUAUGGAGGCGCAGUCUGGGAUCCGGCCAGCGUCCUGGAGGGAGUCGAUGGCAGCGUUGUUUAGGUUGGAGCUGCCAAAGACGUUGACAGAGGAAAUAUUUUGUGUUCCCACAGAAAGAAAUCCUGCUGCAAAGUUUUUUAUUGAGCAAAAAGAAACGCUUGUGCUGAAAAAAAAAAAAUAAUAAAAAUCAGAGCCGCAGCCAAAGCACAACUGAAAUGCAGCGAGCGCUUAGGAAACAUUUGUUAAGCCCCAAGAACCUUUGCUUGCCACAAGCAAGAGUCUCCCUGCACAUGUUGCUUACAUUAAUUUCCCUCUGCAUUAAGGCUCUUUAUUUUAUUAACUUUAGUGUUUAUGAAAACAACCAUCAAAG